RNAcentral lists this ribosomal RNA (534 nucleotides) under Achromobacter sp.RS4. RNAcentral describes it as "bacterial SSU rRNA". It matches the Rfam family "Bacterial small subunit ribosomal RNA", at positions 515 to 1047 of the family's 1533-position model. Lineage: Bacteria; Pseudomonadati; Pseudomonadota; Betaproteobacteria; Burkholderiales; Alcaligenaceae. The record is from RNAcentral.
CCGCGGUAAUACGUAGGGUGCAAGCGUUAAUCGGAAUUACUGGGCGUAAAGCGUGCGCAGGCGGUUCGGAAAGAAAGAUGUGAAAUCCCAGAGCUUAACUUUGGAACUGCAUUUUUAACUACCGGGCUAGAGUGUGUCAGAGGGAGGUGGAAUUCCGCGUGUAGCAGUGAAAUGCGUAGAUAUGCGGAGGAACACCGAUGGCGAAGGCAGCCUCCUGGGAUAACACUGACGCUCAUGCACGAAAGCGUGGGGAGCAAACAGGAUUAGAUACCCUGGUAGUCCACGCCCUAAACGAUGUCAACUAGCUGUUGGGGCCUUCGGGCCUUGGUAGCGCAGCUAACGCGUGAAGUUGACCGCCUGGGGAGUACGGUCGCAAGAUUAAAACUCAAAGGAAUUGACGGGGACCCGCACAAGCGGUGGAUGAUGUGGAUUAAUUCGAUGCAACGCGAAAAACCUUACCUACCCUUGACAUGUCUAAAAUGCUGAAGAGAUUUGGCAGUGCUCGCAAGAGAACCGGAACAUCAGUGGUUGGGA